This 549-nucleotide ribosomal RNA is filed under the name Triticum aestivum (bread wheat). RNAcentral's name for it is "partial small subunit ribosomal RNA". Lineage: Eukaryota; Viridiplantae; Streptophyta; Magnoliopsida; Poales; Poaceae. The record is from RNAcentral.
AUGAGAAUUCCAUUCUUUCUCAUCACAAUCCUCCUUCUCUCUCUCCAAUUCAAUGCUUCCCCAGUUGGUGGAAGCAAGAAGGUGACGAACAUCCGCUUCUACCUCCACAACACCCAUAAGGUGAAUGAUCCAUCCUCGGUCCUUGUCGCACAAAACACCAAUGCCACAGCCCACGCCCGUGGCUUAGUGCCCUUUAGCUCCGUCUACGUGUUUGACGACGUGCUCACAAAGGGGGCCACAAGUAGAUCUAAGGUGGAUGGGAAUGCACAGGGCAUGUACGUUGAAACGGGGAAAGACGGGUACACGAUAUUGUUAACUAUUGACUGUGAGAUGACAGAUGGUCCAUUCAAAGGCAGCUCGUUCGUGAUGUUCUCAAGAAAUGAAUUCAGAAAGCCAAUCAGGGAGGUCCCCGUUAUUGGAGGUCGUGGUGCAUUCCGAAUGGCCAAAGGGUACGGCUUGCUCAAGACCGUUUGUGUUGACUGUAUCAACUCGGUGAAACCGUCCAAGGGAGAUAUCAUCGAGUAUAAUGUGACUCUCUACCUCCAUUGA